CAGUAGCCGCGGUAAUACGUAGGGUGCGAGCGUUAAUCGGAAUUACUGGGCGUAAAGCGCACGUAGGCGGCUUUGUAAGUUAGAGGUGAAAGCCCGGAGCUCAACUCCGGAAUUGCCUUUAAGACUACAGAGCUAGCAGGUGAGAGAGGUGAGUGGAAUUCCGAGUGUAGAGGUGAAAUUCGUAGAUAUUCGGAAGAACACCAGUGGCGAAGGCGGCUCACUGGCUCAUACUGGACGCUGAGGUGCGAAAGCGUGGGGAGCAAACAGGAUUAGAUACCCCCGUAGUCCCUGUCUCUUAUAA
Molecule: ribosomal RNA, 301 nt
Filed under: uncultured bacterium
Lineage: Bacteria
Description: partial 16S ribosomal RNA
Rfam family: Bacterial small subunit ribosomal RNA
Source: RNAcentral